Molecule: long non-coding RNA, 546 nt
Organism: Aegilops tauschii subsp. strangulata
Lineage: Eukaryota; Viridiplantae; Streptophyta; Magnoliopsida; Poales; Poaceae
Source: RefSeq, a predicted model, not a curated record
UCUUUCUCUGAAAGAACUGUGCAAGGUCUCAGGUCUCCACGCCGGCGCCCAUGGCCGGGGACGAGCGCCGGCGCCCCCUCCCUCGCAGCACCCGGUGCCGAGAGGCCGGAUCUCCGCCGCCGCCGGCCAAUCCCGCUUCUCCGUCGCCCUCUUCGCUGCCGCGGUUCAACUUUGAAACAUUCUCUGCGCUCAAAGAUGUAUCCAGGUAGCAAAAGCUAUCUCUCUGCGUUUCUAUGAAGCGAAGAAAUGAGCUGGUUAAUCUCUUUGUGUUUCCUUCUGCGUACCUUCAGAGGGACAGCCCACCCUUUCAACGCUUGUUUAGCUGGCGUUAUUUAACUUGGCCAAACGGCAGGUAGCUAAGUUAAGAUGCCAACUUGGCGUCCGCUGCGACGACAAACAAUGUCAUUGUUGCAGCUAGCAACAACACAAACAUAGGACUAUGUACCAGACCGAGUCUUGGUACCUUUGUCUUAAUUUAUCUUGUGUUAUUUUACUUUAUCUUUUGUUAUGUAUAUUAUAUAUGAGGCCCACUUGAUUAGAGUGAAA